RNAcentral lists this long non-coding RNA (287 nucleotides) under Elaeis guineensis (African oil palm). RNAcentral's name for it is "long non-coding RNA (EGUI_LNC052981)". The record is from RNAcentral. Lineage: Eukaryota; Viridiplantae; Streptophyta; Magnoliopsida; Arecales; Arecaceae.
UGUAGAAACAAAAGGUAAGAGAGAAGAUGUUUUUCUCUUAUUGUUUUUCUUUUCAAUUUAUUUUCUCUUUAUUUUAUAUUUUUAUGUGAUAAAAUUCUAAGAGAGAAAGAGGGAUGGCAUGGUGGAUUCAUGCUCUAAUGAGUUGGGGCAUGGUGAUCUUAUUUUGGACAUGAUCUGAUAAUGUUCUGAUGAGAGAAGAAGAAGAAAAGAAGGACUUUUCUUAAGGUUUCUUUUAAAACUCUUCUUCUCCAUAAAUCAUGAGAUUUUUUUAUGAGAAAAAUUAGAUA